UUGCUUAGUGGCUGAGUUGUAAGCGGUAGACUGUAGAUCUAUUUACGAGAUUAAUUUUUCCUAGCAAA
This is a transfer RNA of 68 nucleotides. It matches the Rfam family "tRNA". Rfam says of the family: Transfer RNA (tRNA) molecules are approximately 80 nucleotides in length.